RNAcentral lists this ribosomal RNA (459 nucleotides) under uncultured bacterium. RNAcentral's name for it is "bacterial SSU rRNA". It matches the Rfam family "Bacterial small subunit ribosomal RNA", at positions 33 to 507 of the family's 1533-position model. The record is from RNAcentral.
ACGCUGGCGGCGUGCCUAACACAUGCAAGUCGAACGGAGUUGACCCUUCGGGGUUAACUUAGUGGCGAACGGGUGAGUAACGCGUGAGAAACCUGCCUCUCAGUGGGGGACAACAGUUGGAAACGACUGCUAAUACCGCAUGACACUUUAGUACCGCAUGGUACAGAAGUCAAAGCUUUAUGUGCUGAGAGAUGGUCUCGCGUCUGAUUAGCUAGAUGGCGGGGUAACGGCCCACCAUGGCGACGAUCAGUAGCCGGUCUGAGAGGAUGAACGGCCACAUUGGGACUGAGAUACGGCCCAGACUCCUACGGGAGGCAGCAGGUGGGGAAUAUUGGGCAAUGGGGGAAACCCUGACCCAGCAACGCCGCGUGAAGGAAGAAGGCCUUCGGGUUGUAAACUUCUUUUACCAGGGACGAAGAACGUGACGGUACCUGGAGAAAAGCAACGGCUAACUACGUG